This 486-nucleotide ribosomal RNA is filed under the name uncultured Porphyromonas sp. RNAcentral's name for it is "partial 16S ribosomal RNA". The record is from RNAcentral. Lineage: Bacteria; Pseudomonadati; Bacteroidota; Bacteroidia; Bacteroidales; Porphyromonadaceae.
CACGGAGUUAGCCGAUGCUUAUUCAUACGGUACAUGCAGGAAGUCACACGUGACUCUUGUUAUUCCCGUAUAAAAGAAGUUUACAAUCCAUAAGACAGUCAUCCUUCACGCGACUUGGCUGGUUCAGGCUCUCGCCCAUUGACCAAUAUUCCUCACUGCUGCCUCCCGUAGGAGUCUGGUCCGUGUCUCAGUACCAGUGUGGGGGUUCAACCUCUCAGUUCCCCUACCCAUCGUCGCCUUGGUGAGCCGUUACCUCACCAACUAGCUAAUGGGACGCAUGCCUAUCUCACAGCGAAUUUCAUUUCCUCUACAUUGGAUGCCCAACAUAGAGUGUACGCGGUAUUAGUCCGUCUUUCGACGGGUUAUCCCCCUCUGUGAGGCAAGUUGCAUACGCGUUACGCACCCGUGCGCCGGUCGCCAUCAGUCUUAGCAAGCUAAGCCAUGCUGCCCCUGACCUUGCAUGUGUUAAGCCUAUCGCUAGCGUUU